Molecule: long non-coding RNA, 3848 nt
Filed under: Gallus gallus (chicken)
Lineage: Eukaryota; Metazoa; Chordata; Aves; Galliformes; Phasianidae
Description: lncRNA (ENSGALG00010011156.1)
Source: RNAcentral
GAAGUAUCCAGAAGAGGUCAGCGUUCGCUGGCUUCUAGGUUACCCCCCUGAGACUUUUCCAUAGGUAUGUUUUGCUUAGAAAAAGCCGAGCUGUCUGGAAGGAUUGAUCGGGAAGGGUGCGGCAGUAUUCAUGAGCUUCUUCCUGGGGAUUUGAAUGCAUUUUGUUUGCAGUAGAGGGAACGGAGACAAUAUGCACAGAAACAACUCCACUGAGCACACCAUCAGGGCUGAAAUAUUUUUCAACCAACAACUCAGGAUUUUAGGAGCCGAAUGUUGGUUUUAGGCUUGACAGUAUUAUUCCGGCUGAGAUUUGUUUUUGCUCCGUAGUGCAAAUCUAUGGCCACACUGGAGUUGCUCCAGCAGAACAAGUGCUAGACCACAUCUCUGCUGACAAUCAGUCAUUCCUUUUGUAACGUAAGCCUUUCACACAUACUUCUCUCUUAUUGCUAUGAGUGUCAUCAGCGUCUGCAGCUGAGGAUCGUCUUCUGCUGUGCUUUUUGCCUCCCAGUAUGGUCAUUGAGUGUUUGUGUGCCCAUGGGAAGAACAUCAGGGCCCCACAGUCACAUGUAGGUCUGACUGUGGAGCAUUAUACCUCAGCACUCUCAGGUUGAAUAUUACGAAAAAAUUAUUCUCCUAGAUGAGUUUGGAGGUCUUUUUGAACGUUGGUGAUUCUAUGUGAUUCCUUCUACAGCCCCCCUGCAGGUAGUGGGAGAGAGCGAUGAGGUCCCCCCUGAGCCUCCGCUUCUCCAGACUGAACAAUCCCAGCUCCCUCAGCCACUCCCCAUAACACCUGCGCUCCAGACCCUGUACCAGCUUUCCUGCUUGUAGUGAGGGGCCCAACACUGAACACAGUACUCGAGGUGCAGCCUCACCAGCGCUGAGUACAGAGAGAUGAUCACUUCCCUGCUCCUGCUGGCAACAGUUUCUGACACAAGCCAGCAGGUCAUCAGCCUUCCUGGCCACCUGGGCACACUGCUGGCUCUUGCUCAUCUGAGCAUCGACCAACACCCCCAAGUUCCCUCAUAAGAAGGUUUGUGUUGGAAGGGAUGACAGAAACAGAGGAUGGCUUGUGUUAUAAGGGACCUUUAAGAUCGUAGAACCACAGAAUGGCUUGUGUUGGAAGAGUGGAAGAUUAAAGAACCAAAGGAUAGCUUGUACUGCAAGGAUCCAUGAAGACCACAGAACCGUAGGAGGGUUUGUAUUGCUAGGAUCCUUGAAGAUCAUAGAACCCUAGGACGGCUUGAGCUUGAAGAGUCCUAAACGAUCAUAAAGCCGCAGGAGGGUUUGUGUUGGAAGUUGUUCUUGAAGACGAAGAUGAUAGAACCCUAGGAUGUCUUGAGUUUGAAGGGUCCUAGAGCCACAGGAUGGCUUGUGUUGGAAGGGUCUUUGAAGAUCACAAAACAUGGAGUGGCUUGCGUUGGAUGUGUCCUUGAAGACCACAGAACCAUGGAAUGGCUCGAGUUAGAAGGGUCCUUGAAGAUCACGGUACAAUGGACUGUCUUGUGUUGGGAGUGUCCUUUAAGAUCACGAACUCACAGGGUGGCAUGUGUUUGUACAGGCCUUGAAGACCGCAGAGAAAGUGCUGAGGGUUACUAUGUACUUCUCAGGUGUGGAGAGUUACCCUUUUGGGUUACGGCUAAGGAUUACCCUUUUGAGUUAGGGUUAAGGGAUAAAGGUUCCCCAUUUGAGUUUAGGGUUAAAGGUUAACAUUUUGGGUUAGGGAUACGGGUUAAGGCUUACCCUUUUGGGUUAGGUUUAAGAGUUUCCUGAUUGUGUAAGCGUGAAGGCUUUCCCUUUUUGCUUAUGAUUAAGCAUUAAGGUUUAUUACUCUGUAGGGUUAGGGGUUAUCAUUUGGGGUUAGGUUUAAGGGUUAAGGGUUUGCUAUUUGUGUUAGGGUUAAGAAAUACCAAUAUGUUUUAGCAUUAAGGGUUACCCAUUUGGGUUAGCAUUAAUGGUCAAGCGUUGCCAUUUGGGGUUAUUGUUAAGGUUAACCAUUUGGGGUUAUGUUUAGGAAUUACCAUUUACUGCCAGGGUUACGUUUUGAGGGUUACUGUCCCAGGUUAGGACAGAAAGGUUUCCCAUUUGGGUUAGUGUUAAGGGUUACAAUUUUGGUUUGGGUUGAGGAUUAUCUGUGUGAGUAAGCAUUGAACAUUCCUCUUUUGGGGCUAGCAUUAAUGGUUACCCAUUUGUGUUUGGGUUACCAUUACGGGUAAUGGUUAAGGGUUAGCAAUUUGGGUUAGUGUUAAUGUUUACCAUUUAGAGUUAGGGUUAACGAUUAAGAGUUGCUGUUUGGUGUUACAGUUAAGGGUUCCAUUUCUGGGUUAGUGUUCAGGUUAAGUAUUACCAUGUUGUGUGUUAGUGUUAAGGGUUAUUCUUUCAAGGGUUAUUCUUUCAAUCAAACUGUUAAGUGUUACUCAUUUGUGUUAUGGUUAAGGAAUACCUAUUCUGGUGAGGGUUAAUGAUUAAGGGUUACUAUACCGGAACAGUUAAGUCAAAGCCUGAACCAGUGAUUGAGCACCUAGUGAAGGGGCAUAGGCGGCCCUGGGAGCACAGGUGGAAGCACUUCACAUGUGCAAACUGCUGUAGCAUGGCUCCGCCCCUCUCAAGCCUCAUUUAAGCAGGUCUUCUGCUUGGAGAUCCUCUUUUGUGGUAUUCUGUGGACUCUGACCCUUAGCAAUUCUUCAUUUAUGGGUUGUGACAUUUCCCUUUCCUGGAGAUUUUAAGACUGGUUUGAAGCAGCUGUAUCGAGCCAGGCUGUGGCUUUUGGGCAGGGUGAACUGACUGAUGUUUGUAAAUAUCUGAAGGGAGGUGACAGGUAAUGGAUGAGGCCUGGCUCUUCUUGGUGUUGUGCAGUGCUAAGACAAAGAGCAAUGUUGUAAAACUCCAACAUGUUGUGUUCCAUACAAACAUGCUGAUGAACUUCCUUACUGUGAGGGUGACAGAGGUCUGGAACAGGUUGCCUGGAGAGGUUGUGGAGUCUUCUAUGGAGAUACUCUUGACUCAUCUGGAUGUCUACCUGUGAGGCUUACUGUAGGGUGCCUCCUUUAGCGUGAGGUUUCGACUCAGUGAUUUCUUGAGGUCCUUUCCAACCCCAACAGUUCUGUGAUUCUGUGUGACAGAAACUCCUGGUAAGACAGAGGAUGAAGAUGGGGAGGAGGAGGGAGAGAUAUAAAUCAUCUGAGCUCUGAUGCUGGCUGAGCUGCACGAUACGCAAAAGGAUUAUGGCCAUCGGCCAAAUGUGCACAUUGCCACUGGGCUGUUGCCGUGCUGGGGUGGUGAGGUGAGUAGCCUGGACUUAGUGGGCAGUGAAGCCAAGCAGCUGAGAUGUCUUUCUAGGGAAAGCGAUAUUCCCAGAGGAACUGGGAAAGGGACGCAGUCUUUUUCCCAGUGGUGGGGACCCUUGUCAGCUGCGAGGGAAAGAUCCUUUCAAGGGAGACUUGGUAUCUAACCCAGGCAAAUGAGCCACCAUGGAGAGAGGUAUCCAGUAUGUGAGUGAACUAGCUGUUCUAGAGAUGAUGUAUGUUAUUAAAUUACACAGUAAUACACUAUCCCAAGAUCCAGAUGAAAUCAUAUGUAUGAGAUCUAUGUGGAGAGUUUUACAGAAUGCAUCACCAUCAUAUGCCAGCACCCUGGCAGGAGUGAACUGGAAAGAGAACCCAAGGCCAAAGGUGAAUGAAGUAGCCAACCUGUUUUGGCAAUAGGAAGAUAGGCUUUCUUCAUCCCUCUGGGCCUAUGUCUCAGCUGUGGAGAAGUUGCCCCAGGAGUUCUAGCAAUUCCAAGACUAUAUGCCCUGCUUCCCGUCUGUACAACCAGUGUCUCAUCCAUUAGAACUAAGCAUUCGCUGCUUG